Molecule: long non-coding RNA, 1157 nt
Filed under: Rattus norvegicus (Norway rat)
Lineage: Eukaryota; Metazoa; Chordata; Mammalia; Rodentia; Muridae
Description: long non-coding RNA NONRATT031205
Source: RNAcentral
UGUCCCUCUUUUCCUUCCAGCUGACCUAUGACUAUCAGUUUGAUUUUGAGGAUGAUCAGCACAAGAUCCCCUGUCACUGUGGAGCCUGGAACUGUAGGAAAUGGAUGAACUAAGAAGCUUUGAGGCUACCAGGCAGGGGAGUCCCCACUCCUGCCUCUUCCCUGAAAGGGAGGAGGGGGAAGAGAGGUAGCAGCCAGAGCCAGGACCCAGGGCUGGGGCUGCCGGCUGACCGGAGCCCCUGGAGCAGGAGGCUGGGGAUGGAGAACCCUAGGCCAAGCCUACCCUGGGCACCAGGGACAACCUUCUUCCCUGCCACCGGCCCUUAGGCUGGCAUCUGCCCCCAGUUCCAGGAGGGGACAGACAGAAGCAGCCACUGGGCAUCUCAGGUUUGAGGGGGAUAUGGGCCGGGACUACCCAGAAGUGUCAGGGAGCAGGAGGGGUGUGCAGCCGGGCCUCACAGCCCUGCUGCCUCCACCAACCUCGCUGGCCCAACUCACGGCUGCAAAGAGACUUGACUAAGCUUGACAAUCCCAAAGGCCGGGUCCCACACCUGGCCCUGCCUGCCGGGUCCUGCCCCUACCCUCACCCCCACCCCUUCCUCUCUGUCUCUGUCCCCCUCUUUUCCUCUGUGUUUCUGUCUCUCUAUGGGUUGUGUUUCCUUGUUUUCCACUCUGACAAAUGCAACAUGACGGGAAAGAGGCAUCCAGAUGCCCAGGAGGGCAAGCCGGGCAAGCCGGGCAAGGAGACCCCGCACCCACACCUACCUCAUUUAAGUGUUGGAUUUUUUGCUGUUUUGAAAUGUGAGACCCUCUCCGAGCCCCCUACUGCCCCGACUCUCUCCCCCACCUCACUGCCCUCUUCUAGUGGGUGGAAGGGGGGGUAGGAGAAGGACAACAACAACAAUAACAACAACAAAAAUCCAUCUUUGUUUUUAAUUAUGGGCGUGGGAUGUCGGCUGAGGCAAAUGGUGAUGAAGAUUGGGGUAACUGGUCUCUAGUUGCUCUAGGACCUCCUUCUCCAUCUGGACAUGGAGGCAGGAGGGGUGUGCUAAACCUAGGACCAGGAUCUCACUCUCCUGUUUUCCCAGCCUCAUCCUGAGCCCGUCUGCCCUCCAGCCCCUGGACGGGGUGUGGGGGGUAGGGUGAGGGCUAUCCCUG